UCACUAUUGGACUGUCUAACCUGCCGGAGCAGUACUGAAUGAUCACCACACAUGAGCAUGUUCCUGCAACAUUCAGCAGCUCUGCUUUUGCUGGAGAGGAAACUACACCAGUGUACUGGGAUGUUUCAGCAACACGUGCCAGAUGCUGUUCCUUCAUGGUGACAUCACCAGAGACAGCCCCGCCCACCUCAUGACCUCGCCAUUGAUCAUAAUGAUUUUAAUGAUGACAGCGAGCGGAACUAAGACUGUAAAAAUCUGAAUGUUUAGAUGCUUUCUAUUUAUUCAUGAAUACUGAGAGCCUCUUUCUGUGUUUUGUCUGUUUUGUUUUUUUUUUACCUCAUUUGUUACUAACAAAGUUCACCAAACUCACACAGUUUACAUUCUGUAUGUUUCCAUCUUUACCAGCCACACUCUACCCGCAAUUAAGAAAAUAAUCCUUAGAAAUUGUCGUUUUUCUCUUUUGUAAUUUUGUAAUUCAGUGAAUAUACUGCGCUGCUUCCUUUAAUUGCGUCUCACAUUGCUUUAAGUUUUUCCAGUGUCCAGUUAUUUUUUACUGUUGUUUGAAUUCUCUGUAUGUUUGACCCUGUAGACUGUUUAAUGGACUGCUUGUCUUGUAACCGCUGCCUGUUUUUGACUAAAGAUUUGGAUUUCUGACUUUAACACA
Long non-coding RNA from Oreochromis aureus, 664 nucleotides. RefSeq lists it as uncharacterized. The record is from RefSeq and is a predicted model, not a curated record. The transcript is spliced from 2 exons. Lineage: Eukaryota; Metazoa; Chordata; Actinopteri; Cichliformes; Cichlidae.